Molecule: transfer-messenger RNA, 347 nt
Filed under: Aquificales
Lineage: Bacteria; Pseudomonadati; Aquificota; Aquificia
Also listed under: 1 other name
Description: QOAS01 sp013154305 Standard tmRNA
Rfam family: transfer-messenger RNA
About the family: Bacterial tmRNA, also known as 10Sa RNA or SsrA, is named for its dual tRNA and mRNA-like properties.
Source: RNAcentral
GGGGGCGACGAGGUUUCGACGGGGACUGGUCGGGCCCCGAGGAGCAGGCCGGGUGGCACCCGUAACAGCCGCCAGCAACAGCUCCCGAAGCUGAGCUCGCUUUGGCUGCCUAAUUAACGGCAGCCCGUCCUUAGGCGGCUUGCGCCCGGCCGCCUAAGGGCGUCAAACGAGGGCGCUGGGGCUCCGCCCCCCGCCCGCCGGGGGCGGAGCCGACGCCUGCGGCGGGACCCCCUGCGGGAGUUUGCCGGUGGACGCCCGCAGGGCGGAACCAAAACACCGGCUAAGCCUGUAGAGCCUCGGAGGCCCGGCGUCUCCGGACGCGGGUUCGAUUCCCGCCGCCUCCACUG